GAUGAACGCUGGCGGCGUGCCUAAUACAUGCAAGUCGAGCGAACAGACGAGGAGCUUGCUCCUCUGACGUUAGCGGCGGACGGGUGAGUAACACGUGGAUAACCUACCUAUAAGACUGGGAUAACUUCGGGAAACCGGAGCUAAUACCGGAUAAUAUAUUGAACCGCAUGGUUCAAUAGUGAAAGACGGUUUUGCUGUCACUUAUAGAUGGAUCCGCGCCGCAUUAGCUAGUUGGUAAGGUAACGGCUUACCAAGGCAACGAUGCGUAGCCGACCUGAGAGGAUGAUCGGCCACACUGGAACUGAGACACGGUCCAGACUCCUACGGGAGGCAGCAGUAGGGAAUCUUCCGCAAUGGGCGAAAGCCUGACGGAGCAACGCCGCGUGAGUGAUGAAGGUCUUCGGAUCGUAAAACUCUGUUAUUAGGGAAGAACAAAUGUGUAAAUAACUAUGCACGUCUUGACGGUACCUAAUCAGAAAGCCACGGCUAACUACGUG
Molecule: ribosomal RNA, 497 nt
Filed under: uncultured bacterium
Lineage: Bacteria
Description: partial 16S ribosomal RNA
Rfam family: Bacterial small subunit ribosomal RNA
Source: RNAcentral